CAGUCGCCGCGGUAAUACGGAGGGAGCUAGCGUUGUUCGGAAUUACUGGGCGUAAAGCGCGCGUAGGCGGUUACUCAAGUCAGAGGUGAAAGCCCGGGGCUCAACCCCGGAACUGCCUUUGAAACUAGGUGACUAGAAUCUUGGAGAGGUCAGUGGAAUUCCGAGUGUAGAGGUGAAAUUCGUAGAUAUUCGGAAGAACACCAGUGGCGAAGGCGACUGACUGGACAAGUAUUGACGCUGAGGUGCGAAAGCGUGGGGAGCAAACAGGAUUAGAUACCCCCGUAGUCCCUGUCUCUUAUAA
RNAcentral lists this ribosomal RNA (301 nucleotides) under uncultured bacterium. RNAcentral's name for it is "partial 16S ribosomal RNA". It matches the Rfam family "Bacterial small subunit ribosomal RNA", at positions 509 to 809 of the family's 1533-position model. The record is from RNAcentral.